Molecule: ribosomal RNA, 480 nt
Filed under: uncultured bacterium
Lineage: Bacteria
Description: partial 16S ribosomal RNA
Rfam family: Bacterial small subunit ribosomal RNA
Source: RNAcentral
GACGAACGCUGGCGGCGUGCUUAACACAUGCAAGUCGAACGAUGAAGUUCCUUCGGGAAUGGAUUAGUGGCGAACGGGUGAGAAACACGUGAGAAACCUGCCUUUCAUUUUGGGAUAACUCCGGGAAACCGGAGCUAACACCGAAUACUCCGUCUCGGCGGCAUCGCUGAGCCGGGAAAAAAUUAUGAUGAAAGAUGGUCUCGCGGCCUAUCAGCUAGUUGGUGAGGUAAUGGCUCACCAAGGCGACGACGGGUAGCCGGCCUGAGAGGGCGACCGGCCACACUGGGACUGAGACACGGCCCAGACCCCUACGGGAGGCAGCAGUGGGGAAUAUUGGGCAAUGGGCGCAAGCCUGACCCAGCGACGCCGCGUGAGGGAUGAAGGCCUUCGGGUUGUAAACCUCUUUCAGUAGGGAAGAAGCGAAAGUGACGGUACCUAAAGAAGAAGCACCGGCUAACUAUGUGCCAGCCGCCGCAGUAA